Molecule: ribosomal RNA, 253 nt
Filed under: uncultured bacterium
Lineage: Bacteria
Description: partial 16S ribosomal RNA
Rfam family: Bacterial small subunit ribosomal RNA
Source: RNAcentral
UACGGGGGGGGCAAGCGUUGUUCGGAAUUACUGGGCGUAAAGGGCUCGUAGGUGGCCAACUAAGUCAGACGUGAAAUCCCUCGGCUUAACCGGGGAACUGCGUCUGAUACUGGAUGGCUAGAGAUUGGGAGAGGGAUGCGGAAUUCCAGGUGUAGCGGUGAAAUGCGUAGAUAUCUGGAGGAACACCGGUGGCGAAGGCGGCAUCCUGGACCGACACUGACACUGAGGAGCGAAAGCCAGGGGAGCAAACGGG